This 361-nucleotide long non-coding RNA is filed under the name Dermacentor andersoni. Its description in RNAcentral is "uncharacterized LOC126534134". Lineage: Eukaryota; Metazoa; Arthropoda; Arachnida; Ixodida; Ixodidae. The record is from RNAcentral.
GUCACAGCCAACCAACCCACUAUUCAUGCGUUCAAGCAUCCUCCCCAUCGAAGAAGUGAGGUACAACCUAUUCUGCAUAGCAACGGUUUCGAAGAAAAGACUAUAGACAGCAAUGACGAGUGCAGUCGUAACAGCACGUGUAAGAAAUGGUUGUGUUGUUCCGGUAAAGGGGAAAGAGAAAUUUGCAAGUAUAAGAGGCUGCGCGAGCGUGACUGCAGUGAUAGGGACAACGACCAUGGCUCUAAAAUUUGCCGAUGUUUUUUGCAGGAAGACUAAAGCAAAGGGCAAAGCUUGCAUGAGCAGCGAGGAGUGCCAAAAAAAUCUGUGUUGCCUGCGACAGCAGUCAACGAAUACAUGCCAG